AACAUUGAGCCUUGAUGUGUAGGAUAGGUGGGAGGCUUUGAAGUGUGGACGCCAGUCUGCAUGGAGCCGACCUUGAAAUACCACCCUUUAAUGUUUGAUGUUCUAACGUUGACCCGUGAUCCGGGUUGCGGACAGUGUCUGGUGGGUAGUUUGACUGGGGCGGUCUCCUCCUAAAGAGUAACGGAGGAGCACGAAGGUUGGCUAAUCCUGGUCGGACAUCAGGAGGUUAGUGCAAUGGCAUAAGCCAGCUUGACUGCGAGCGUGACGGCGCGAGCAGGUGCGAAAGCAGGUCAUAGUGAUCCGGUGGUUCUGAAUGGAAGGGCCAUCGCUCAACGGAUAAAAGGUACUCCGGGGAUAACAGGCUGAUACCGCCCAAGAGUUCAUAUCGACGGCGGUGUUUGGCACCUCGAUGUCGGCUCAUCACAUCCUGGGGCUGAAGUAGGUCCCAAGGGUAUGGCUGUUCGCCAUUUAAAGUGGUACGCGAGCUGGGUUUAGAACGUCGUGAGACAGUUCGGUCCCUAUCUGCCGUGGGCGCUGGAGAACUGAGGGGGGCUGCUCCUAGUACGAGAGGACCGGAGUGGACGCAUCACUGGUGUUCGGGUUGUCAUGCCAAUGGCACUGCCCGGUAGCUAAAUGCGGAAGAGAUAAGUGCUGAAAGCAUCUAAGCACGAAACUUGCCCCGAGAUGAGUUCUCCCUGAGACUUUAAGUCUCCUGAAGGAACGUUGAAGACGACGACGUUGAUAGGCCGGGUGUGUAAGCGCAGCGAUGCGUUGAGCUAACCGGUACUAAUGAACCGU
RNAcentral lists this ribosomal RNA (798 nucleotides) under Escherichia coli. RNAcentral's name for it is "partial 23S ribosomal RNA". It matches the Rfam family "Bacterial large subunit ribosomal RNA", at positions 2120 to 2912 of the family's 2925-position model. The record is from RNAcentral. Lineage: Bacteria; Pseudomonadati; Pseudomonadota; Gammaproteobacteria; Enterobacterales; Enterobacteriaceae.